ACUGCCCCUUGAGGCGUUGCAGCCCAACUUUCAGUGUUGCAGCUGUGUCAUAAGGUGGCAGAGAGAGGCCGGUGGUAGUCUGCACUGAGACUCUACAACACAACUGAGGGCUCGGAGUGAAUCUCACCACCAACACU
This is a small nucleolar RNA of Anabas testudineus (climbing perch), 137 nucleotides long. Ensembl annotates it as small nucleolar RNA SNORA17. Lineage: Eukaryota; Metazoa; Chordata; Actinopteri; Anabantiformes; Anabantidae. The record is from Ensembl.